Molecule: small nuclear RNA, 198 nt
Filed under: Ophiophagus hannah (king cobra)
Lineage: Eukaryota; Metazoa; Chordata; Lepidosauria; Squamata; Elapidae
Description: 7SK RNA
Rfam family: 7SK RNA
About the family: 7SK was discovered as an abundant small nuclear RNA in the mid-70s but a possible function has only recently been suggested. Two independent studies have found that 7SK RNA binds the CDK9/cyclin T complex (known as elongation factor P-TEFb).
Source: Rfam by way of RNAcentral
GGAUGUGAAGGCAAUCUGGCUGGGACAAAACUGUCACCCCAUUGAUCAUCAGUGUUGCUUUGGCUGAUUUUGCCUGGUAGGUGGGUGUUUUCUUUCUCCCUCACCACUCCAUGUGAGCCUUUCCCCAACCGGCACGUCGAGCAAAAGUAGACAACCAUUUCAAAUCAAAGAAAUAUACUGUUUUUCAGUCAAGAUAUU